This is a small nucleolar RNA of Salvia splendens (bonfire salvia), 78 nucleotides long. RefSeq annotates it as small nucleolar RNA U83. The transcript has a single exon. Lineage: Eukaryota; Viridiplantae; Streptophyta; Magnoliopsida; Lamiales; Lamiaceae. The record is from RefSeq and is a predicted model, not a curated record.
GGUCUAUGAUGAUUUUAGUGGAAUUCAUUAAUGAUUAUUCAUUGAUUACGAACACACUACUGCCUUCCUUCUGAGGCU